UUGAUCAAUGAUGACCAUAAAAAAAAGCUUUUAAAGAAACAAGGAAGACCGCGGAAAUAAUCAUUAUCCGUAAAUCAGGAGUGAAAAAUAAUAACCGACCAUCACCAUUUGGCUUCCGACGUCAACACUACGACUGUUCAAGUGCACCGAACAACCAGAGUCAUCGAAGAAAUAAUGUAUGCUCGGCUGUACGCCUAGAUAAAAGUCUGGCAUGAUAUAUAUUACGUUACAUCCGCAACGGCUGCUUCUGUCAUUAUAAUAGAUCCUGCAGACUCAGCAACUCUAUAGACGGACCCUCUCCCACCAUUUUCAAGAGAGACUGAUACACGGACUCAGACUCGGAGUUGAACCGCAUCUUAAUCACGACCUCGUCCUAAUUUU
Long non-coding RNA from Cimex lectularius (bed bug), 381 nucleotides. RefSeq lists it as uncharacterized. NCBI's taxonomy places the organism in Eukaryota, Metazoa, Arthropoda, Insecta, Hemiptera, Cimicidae. The transcript is spliced from 2 exons. The record is from RefSeq and is a predicted model, not a curated record.